UACGUAGGGUGCAAGCGUUAAUCGGAAUUACUGGGCGUAAAGCGUGCGCAGGCGGUGGCUCAAGCCAGGCGUGAAAUCCCCGGGCUUAACCUGGGAAUUGCAUUUCAAACUGGCCGACUAGAGUACGGUAGAGGGAGGUAGAAUUUCCAGUGUAGCGGUGAAAUGCGUAGAUAUUGGAAGGAACACCAGUGGCGAAGGCGACUAUCUGGGCAAAUACUGACACUGAGACACGAAAGCAUGGGGAGCAAACAGG
This 253-nucleotide ribosomal RNA is filed under the name uncultured bacterium. RNAcentral's name for it is "partial 16S ribosomal RNA". It matches the Rfam family "Bacterial small subunit ribosomal RNA", at positions 524 to 776 of the family's 1533-position model. The record is from RNAcentral.